UCCAUAACUUUUAUAUGCAUUGAUGGAUUAUGUUAGUGCUAAACACAAACAUUCCCCAUGAUGAGACAAUGUGUCAACGCAUGAUCUGUGCUUGUCGGCUAAAGGUCAAGGUCACUGUUUAAGGUGAAUCUGCUUCCAUACUUUUAAUUGUAUUGAAUGAUUUUUUUAGUAUUAGACAGAAAUAUUCCCCGUGAUUAGACUAUGUGUCGCGCACAUGAUCAUUGGUUGUCGGUCAAAGGUCAAGGUUACUAUUGAAGGUCAAGUAAAAUUGGUUUUUCACCGGUAGGGUACUUCUGUAUAAUUUCUAUUGCAAUACUCGGUCACUUGAUUUUUAAUUAUCUUGCCAUCAUAGGUAAACAGUCAUUUUAAGAAGGAUAACUAGUAUUUUACAGAUAAACUAAGAGUUGUUUCCCUUUAAAAACUGAUUGCGUUUUCUUUCUUCUUCUUGUCCUGCAAGGUGUGUUUUACGUUUAGAAAAGGCACCCAGAUAUUAAGAACUCAUAUGGGAUAUAUAAAACAUUCAUUCUAAUAUUUCUAAAUUUCAGUUAGCCAAUAUCAAAUUGUUCAGCGUAAUAAGGACAAAUAUCAAACAGGGAAAGCCAUUUUCAAGAACUUAAAUCACCUCCCGUCCAAACCGCAACCCAGCACGCAGACGUGCACACGACCAAUACAGAAAGUCACACGUAAAGCAAACCUACGAGAAUAAAACGAAAAAUUAAAGGAAAACAACGGGGCAACACCUUUGAACGGUCAGUGGCAAAAACACCACUGGGGAGCUUUAACCUUUUAAUGGUGCAUCUAACCUCACUCUUACCCACACCAUGUUCCAAAGUCACGGGACAUUGUAAAAAAUAUUAUCCCCGCCAGAGUAAAAAAACACGAGACAGGAAAGGAAAAUUGCUUUAAUACGACAUUUUUUACACUAAUGCACAGGUUCAAUAUACAAUGUAAUUCAACAUCAAAAGAGACCAAACAAAAUAUAGGCCGGUUAUAGUGCAACAUAUGGUCAAACUAAAUCCAACAUGAGAUAUUUAGCAUGGAAUGAGUAGAGAUACACAAAAUAACACACAGAAAAAAAGUCCUCAAAAAUAUCACUACAGGAUACUGAGAUAUCACAUCAUAUUUAUUGGUGGGAAUAAAUAUUUUCCAAUGUCCGUUAUCAUGCACCGUGUGCCAUUUUUUCUCUACUUCCGGUAAGAAGUAAACAUCGCAGUUUGCUGUCAAAUUUUGUGGAACACCACUCUGUUCAAAGAAUUACUGGUUAUUGUCGAGUGAAUCGUGUAUGAGCUGAGGAGAAUUUUGCUAUUUGCGACGUGAAAGACGAACGUAGAAUACCAACAUUGUGUGAAAAAAAGUGUAGAUAGUUAAUUUCUGCAGCCAGAAAUAAAGGAGAACAAAUGUAUGUUAGACUGAGAACAUUGUGUGCUAUGAGUGUAGAAAAAUUAC
This is a long non-coding RNA of Mercenaria mercenaria, 1446 nucleotides long. RefSeq lists it as uncharacterized. The transcript has 3 exons. The record is from RefSeq and is a predicted model, not a curated record. NCBI's taxonomy places the organism in Eukaryota, Metazoa, Mollusca, Bivalvia, Venerida, Veneridae.